Molecule: long non-coding RNA, 2245 nt
Filed under: Capsicum annuum
Lineage: Eukaryota; Viridiplantae; Streptophyta; Magnoliopsida; Solanales; Solanaceae
Description: long non-coding RNA (CANN_LNC017351)
Source: RNAcentral
AAAAUACAUGCAUCAAAACCUUUAAAUCAUGCUUUAACAAUUUCAAGCCCAUGUAGUUUUUAGGAUAAACCCCACGUACCUCGAUUAUGAAGAACAAGGGAUGAUCCUUUAAGCCUACGAAAUUAUGCUUUAACAAUUUCAAGCUCAGGUAGUUUUUUUUUUUAGGAUAAACCUCACGUACCUCGAUUACGAAGAAUAAGGGAUGAUCCUUGAAGCCUACGGUUUGAGGAUUCCAAAUCUUCAGUCAAUUUUGAAAACCCACAGUUGAAUCUUGAGUUUCUUGGAGGAGAAGUAUAUGAAGUAAGGUUUUGUUUUGAGGAAAAUCUAGAGAAUGUCAUAUAUUCUACUUGUAGAGGUCUUAAUCUACUGUUUGGAAGUUUAAAGAGGCUUGGAAAAAGUCCAAAUUACCCUUAUUAACUUCUGAACGAAGAUGGAAAAAAUUAAACUGGGAACCCAAUUUUGUGGACCACCGCAACGUGCCACUAUCGUGGUGGCUCUUUGGAAAUUGACGAGUGGGAAAUUGGGAUCCUUCUUGACGCGCCACUAUCGCGGUGUCCCACUAAAAUUUGAUAAUUGCUAAUUAAACCGUCUCCAUGGAGUGCUAAACACUAGAAUGACGAUGUUUUACGACUAGCACAUAAAAUAGCGCAAUAAAUUCUUCACUGAGUGUCCGUUUUGGACGAAUCUUAUAUCGACGGAAAGCUUAUUCAGUCAUCUACGUAAUAAAAAGUUUAAAUAUAAGGGAUUCCAUAGGGAAAUAAGUAUAAAUCAUUCCAGAAGACAAUUCUUGGUAUUCUAGGGACAAAAUUUAGCUAAGAAAAACUUCGGGGCAUUACAAUAUCCCCUUUGGGAACAUUCGUCCCCAAAUGUUGACGCGGGAUACAGACAAGUCUAAUUUCAAGCAUACUAAGGCAUAGAAAGAAUAAGGCAAGGAUUGUACCUUCCAUUUCGUCAUCCAUUGGAUCAAAAUGGUUGGGGUAUCUACCUCUCAUGUCAAUUUCUAAUUCCUAAGUCGCUUCUUCAAUUUUUUGGUUUCUCCACAACACUUAACUGUGGCUAUCUCUUUGUUCCUCAAUCUUCUAACGUGGUGAUCCAAAAUCUCUACAUGCUUUUCUUCAUUGGAUAAGGAGUCUGUCACUAUGAUUUCUUUGACAAACAAUACUAAAGAAUGGUCACCAACACACUUCUUUAACAUAGAUAUAUGAAAUACCGGAUGAACAGAACCCAAACUUGCAGGAAACUCUAACUCAUACGCAACUCCACCUAUCCUUCUCGCAAUAUAGUAUGGUCCUAUAUAGCGAGGACUCAGCUUAACUUUCUUCCAAAAUCGCAUGACUCCUUUCAUGGGAGAAACCUUGAGAAACACCCAAUCUCCAACCUCAAACUCUAGAUCUCUUCUCCUAACAUCGGCGUAGGACUUCUGAUGACUCUGAGCUAUCUUAAGUCAUUCUCUAAUGACUUUCACAUCCUCUAUUGCCUGAUGAACAAGAUCAGGCCCGAAUAUCUGCGUCUCACCUACUUUAUACCACCCUAUUGGUGACCUACAUCUUCUCUCAUACAAUGCCUCAAAUGGUGUGCCAUCUUGAUAUUGGAAUGGAAACUAUUAUUAUAUGCGAACUCUAUCAAUGGCAAGUGCUCUACCCAACUACCUUUAAAAUCAAUCACGUAGGCUCUCAACUUAUCCUCAAGGGUCUGGAUGGUGCGCUCAACUUGCCCAUCUGUCUGAGGGUGGAAAGUCGCGCUCAAAUUUACUUGGGUACCUAAACCCUUUUGAAGAAAACUGUGUACCUUUGUCAGAUAUGAUGGACACAGGUGCCCCAUGCAAACGAACUAUUUCUACAAGGAACAGCUUGGCAUAAUCCUCUCCUGAAUAAUUUGUCCUGAUAGAUAGAAAGUGAGUUGACUUGGUCAACCUAUCUACAAUCACCCAAAUAGAAUCAUACUGGUUUCGGGACCUCGUAAGUCCUGUAAUGAAGUCCAUAUUAAUCAUCUCCCACUUCCACAAAGGCAAAGCUAUCUCUUGAGAAGAAACACCAGGCCUCAAAUGUUCUACUUUAACUUGUUGACAAUUCAAACACUUGGCAACAUAGUUAGCCACAUCACGCUUCAUAUUAUUCCACCAAUAAAUGGUUUUCAAAUCCUGAUACAUCUUAGUAGAGCCAGGGUGAACAACAUACCUCGACAUGUGGGCUUCGUCAAGGAUUCUCUUCCUCGGACCAUCUACAUCUGGCACACACAACCUACC